RNAcentral lists this unclassified non-coding RNA (494 nucleotides) under uncultured Glomeromycotina. RNAcentral's name for it is "SSU rRNA". It matches the Rfam family "Eukaryotic small subunit ribosomal RNA", at positions 591 to 1092 of the family's 1831-position model. Lineage: Eukaryota; Fungi; Glomeromycota. The record is from RNAcentral.
CCAAUAGCGUAUAUUAAAGUUGUUGUGGUUAAAAAGCUCGUAGUUGAACCUUGGGCCUGGCUGGCCGGUCCGCCUCACCGCGUGUACUGGUCCGGCCGGGCCUUUCCCUCUGUGGAACCCCAUGCCCUUCACUGGGUGUGGCGGGGAAACAGGACUUUUACUGUGAAAAAAUUAGAGUGCUCCAGGCAGGCCUAUGCUCGAAUACAUUAGCAUGGAAUAAUAGAAUAGGACGUGUGGUUCUAUUUUGUUGGUUUCUAGGACCGCCGUAAUGAUUAAUAGGGACAGUCGGGGGCAUCAGUAUUCAAUUGUCAGAGGUGAAAUUCUUGGAUUUAUUGAAGACUAACUACUGCGAAAGCAUUUGCCAAGGAUGUUUUCAUUAAUCAGGAACGAAAGUUAGGGGAUCGAAGACGAUCAGAUACCGUCGUAGUCUUAACCAUAAACUAUGCCGACUAGGGAUCGGACGGUGUAUUUUUUGACCCGUUCGGCACCUUACG